CUGACGGUUUGAUCAAUGGCUCAGGAUGAACGCUAGCGGCAGGCCUAACACAUGCAAGUCAGGGGCAGCACGAAAAAGCUUGCUUUUUUGGUGGCGACCGGCGCACGGGUGCGUAACGCGUAUGCAACCUACCCUGUACUGGAGGAUAGCCCGAAGAAAUUCGGAUUAAUACUCCAUAGUAAUUAGAGACCGCAUGGUUUUUAAUUUAAAGGUUACGGUACAGGAUGGGCAUGCGUCCCAUUAGCUAGAUGGUAAGGUAACGGCUUACCAUGGCGACGAUGGUAGGGGGCCUGAGAGGGUGAUCCCCCACACUGGUACUGAGACACGGACCAGACUCCUACGGGAGGCAGCAGUGAGGAAUAUUGGACAAUGGGCGCAAGCCUGAUCCAGCCAUGCCGCGUGCAGGAAGAAUGCCCUAUGGGUUGUAAACUGCUUUUAUUUGGGAAUAAACCUCUUUACGUGUAGAGAGCUGAAGGUACCAAAUGAAUAAGCACCGGCUAACUCCGUG
Molecule: ribosomal RNA, 508 nt
Filed under: uncultured bacterium
Lineage: Bacteria
Description: bacterial SSU rRNA
Rfam family: Bacterial small subunit ribosomal RNA
Source: RNAcentral